CGGACGGGUGAGUAACACGUGGGUAACCUACCUAUAAGACUGGGAUAACUCCGGGAAACCGGGGCUAAUACCGGAUAAUAUUUUGAACCGCAUGGUUCAAAAGUGAAAGAUGGUCUUGCUGUCACUUAUAGAUGGAUCCGCGCUGCAUUAGCUAGUUGGUAAGGUAACGGCUUACCAAGGCAACGAUGCAUAGCCGACCUGAGAGGGUGAUCGGCCACACUGGAACUGAGACACGGUCCAG
RNAcentral lists this ribosomal RNA (241 nucleotides) under uncultured Staphylococcus sp. Its description in RNAcentral is "partial 16S ribosomal RNA". It matches the Rfam family "Bacterial small subunit ribosomal RNA", at positions 99 to 334 of the family's 1533-position model. Lineage: Bacteria; Bacillati; Bacillota; Bacilli; Caryophanales; Staphylococcaceae. The record is from RNAcentral.